RNAcentral lists this ribosomal RNA (1298 nucleotides) under uncultured Gammaproteobacteria bacterium. RNAcentral's name for it is "bacterial SSU rRNA". It matches the Rfam family "Bacterial small subunit ribosomal RNA", at positions 117 to 1404 of the family's 1533-position model. Lineage: Bacteria; Pseudomonadati; Pseudomonadota; Gammaproteobacteria. The record is from RNAcentral.
CUAGGGAUCUGCCUAAGUGAGGGGAAUAACUAUUGGAAACGAUAGCUAAUACCACAUAAUGUCACUUUAUUGACCAAAGUGGGGGAACUUUUAGUCCUUGCGCUCUUAGAUGAACCUAGAUAAGAUUAGCUAGUAGGUAAGGUAAUGGCUUACCUAGGCAACGAUCUUUAGCUGGUCUGAGAGGAUGGCCAGCCACACUGGAACUGAGAUACGGUCCAGACUCCUACGGGAGGCAGCAGUGGGGAAUCUUGCACAAUGGGGGCAACCCUGAUGCAGCUAUGCCGCGUGUGUGAAGAAGGCCUUAGGGUUGUAAAGCACUUUCAGCGAGGAAGAAGUUAAUAAGGUGAAUAACUUUAUUAAUUGACGUUACUUGCAAAAGAAGCACCGGCUAACUCCGUGCCAGCAGCCGCGGUAAUACGGAGGGUGCAAGCGUUAAUCGGAAUUACUGGGCGUAAAGAGUACGUAGGUGGUUUGUAAAGUCAGAUGUGAAAUCCCUAGGCUUAACCUAGGAACUGCAUAUGAAACUAGCAAGCUAGAGUUUCGUAGAGGGGAAAAGAAUUCCAGGUGUAGCGGUGAAAUGCGUAGAUAUCUGGAGGAAUAUCAGUGGCGAAGGCGUUUCCCUGGACGAAAACUGACGCUCAGGUACGAAAGCAUGGGGAGCAAACAGGAUUAGAUACCCUGGUAGUCCAUGCUGUAAACGAUGUCGAUUUGAAGGUUGGAUUGUUUUUUUAUUCUGGCUUUCGAAGCUAACGCGUUAAAUCGACCGCCUGGGGAGUACGGCCGCAAGGCUAAAACUCAAAUGAAUUGACGGGGGCCCGCACAAGCGGUGGAGCAUGUGGUUUAAUUCGAUGCAACGCGAAAAACCUUACCUACUCUUGACAUCCAGAGAACUUAACAGAGAUGUUUUGGUGCCUUCGGGAACUCUGAGACAGGUGCUGCAUGGCUGUCGUCAGCUCGUGUUGUGAAAUGUUGGGUUAAGUCCCGCAACGAGCGCAACCCUUGUCCUUUGUUGCCAGCGAUUCGGUCGGGAACUCAAAGGAGACUGCCAGUGAUAAACUGGAGGAAGGUGGGGAUGAGGUCAAGUCAUCAUGGCCCUUAUGAGUAGGGCUACACACGUGCUACAAUGGCGUGUACAAAGAGAAGCUAUCUUGCAAGAGUAAGCAAAUCUCAAAAAACACGUCUUAGUCCGGAUUGAAGUCUGCAACUCGACUUUAUGAAGUCGGAAUCGCUAGUAAUCGCGAAUCAGCAUGUCGCGGUGAAUACGUUCUCGGGCCUUGUACACACCGCCCGUCAUACCA